RNAcentral lists this ribosomal RNA (159 nucleotides) under Ohwia caudata. RNAcentral describes it as "5.8S ribosomal RNA". It matches the Rfam family "5.8S ribosomal RNA". Rfam says of the family: 5.8S ribosomal RNA (5.8S rRNA) is a component of the large subunit of the eukaryotic ribosome. Lineage: Eukaryota; Viridiplantae; Streptophyta; Magnoliopsida; Fabales; Fabaceae. The record is from RNAcentral.
GACUCUCGGCAAUGGAUAUCUCGGCUCUUGCAUCGAUGAAGAACGUAGCGAAAUGCGAUACUUGGUGUGAAUUGCAGAAUCCCGUGAACCAUCGAGUCUUUGAACGCAAGUUGCGCCCGAAGCCAUUAGGUUGAGGGCAUGCCUGCCUGGGUGUCACAC